This 459-nucleotide ribosomal RNA is filed under the name uncultured bacterium. RNAcentral describes it as "partial 16S ribosomal RNA". It matches the Rfam family "Bacterial small subunit ribosomal RNA", at positions 338 to 795 of the family's 1533-position model. The record is from RNAcentral.
CCUACGUGUGGCAGCAGUGAGGAAUAUUGGUCAAUGGGCGCUAGCCUGAACCAGCCAAGUAGCGUGAAGGAUGACUGCCCUAUGGGUUGUAAACUUCUUUUAUAUGGGAAUAAAGUGCAGUAUGUAUACUGCUUUGCAUGUACCCUAUGAAUAAGGAUCGGCAAACUCCGUGCCCGCAGCCGCGGUAAUACGGAGGAUGCGCGCGUUAUCCGGAUUUAUUGGGUUUAUAGGGUGCGUAGGCGGAUCGUUAAGUCAGUGGUAAAAUUGAGGGGCUCAACGCCUUCCCGCCAUUGAAACUGGCGUGCUUGAGUGGACGAGAGGUAUGCGGAAUGCGUGGUGUAGCGGUGAAAUGCAUAGAUAUCACGCAGAACCCCGAUGGCGAAGGCAGGAUGCCGGCUUCCGACUGACGCUGAAGCACGAAAGCGUGGGGAUCGAACAGGAUUAGAUACCCUUGUAGUC